CAGUCCCGUACUUAAGUACCUUAAGCAUUAUUUCACGAUCGUAUUAAAAAAGUUUUGUAAUUUUACGACACUUCCGGUGGUUUAGGAGUGACUAAAUAUAGAAACACAUCAACGAGUACCUAGCACUGCAAGUCGAUCAAGGAUGCCGAACACUGAAUGAAAAUUUAAACUGUGUCUCCAAAUAAUUACCAUGUUUUGAUUUAAGGAAACGCCACCUUACGAAAAAGAAAUCUAGUGUAAGUUACGUUUCGGUGCACGUUAUUACAUUUUUCUGUUUGAAUUGUAGCUAGUAUUUUUGUCUUUGACUUAUGAAUGUUAUUGAUAUUAUGUAUUUUUUAUUGUAGGAGAAAACUAAAGCUGUUAUUCAAAAUUUUCUUUUCAAGCUACAAAAACAAAUUUCAACAAUUGCUUUGGAGGACUUAUUUGAUUUUAAAAAU
Molecule: long non-coding RNA, 437 nt
Organism: Zophobas morio
Lineage: Eukaryota; Metazoa; Arthropoda; Insecta; Coleoptera; Tenebrionidae
Exons: 2
Source: RefSeq, a predicted model, not a curated record